GUCCCGGGCGGGCGGGGGAGCGGAGAGCGGCCCCUCGGGCCUCACGGCUCUCAGCCCGGGCCCUGGCAGCGGGGGGCCCCUGUGAAAAACAAUAUGGGACCAUGUAAUUAAAGACUAUCAUAAUGAGAUGAGCCGCAGGCCUACUUAAAGGUCACGGACAGAUGUAGUUGAUGUUUCCUGUGUUUUGAAGUAACGGGCUUUGCAACGUGACAGUAUUUUUGAAUGUUUGUCAGCAGUGAAGACAUUAUCAUUGACCUCUCCACUGAGAUGAAAUUGCUGCUGGUCUCAUAAGCAAGUGACUGGAUGAAGCUUCUAUUUUGAGAUUCCAACACAGAGCUGGUGUGAACGCACUCACUAUCUGUGCUGAGCCUGAAGUGUCCAUAGAAAAUCUAUUCUGAAUUUUGAGAAAACCAUUAUACCUGGACAUUUAUUGGUAUAGUACUAGUAGUAAUAGUAAUGUGAUAGUAUUGUAUACUAUUUUAAUAGUCUGUUUUAUUGAAGUAUCACUAUCUGUGCAGACCAGCCUGCAGCCUGCCUUCCUGGCUGCAGGGUACUAAAGCCUCAGUACACAACUCUGAGCUCUCCCCUGCCCAUCUUCCCAGCAGAACAUGCAAAUACAAUGUGCUGUCUCUGUUGCUUGCUGUUCACAUAUCCUUUCCCACUUUUAAGGAUUAUUCCAGCUGUUACCUGGGAAGAAAAAACCUUCCUUUGCCCUGUGGUCUUUGCAGUUCUCUUGGGACCUCCAUUCAUGUGGCCCGGGAAAAAGGAAGGCUGAGAAUGUAUUUUAUAGGCAAUUGGAAAAAAAUGCCAGGAUAAAAAUUAAAUAUACAAAACAACUGGUGUUUUGGGGUUUUUCCCAUUCUCACUGACCAUCUUCAGAGAGUCCUCUGGAGAUGUGCAGCUGAAGAGCGAGCCACUCAAAGCAGUGGCUGCUGUUUUUCUAGCUGCUGAUAUUUCUAGCCCUGCUGCUGGCCUCAGGAGAACUGUGAUGGGGCUCCUCAGCUAUAAGCUACCAGCAGCAACCUUCCAGCUAUUGGGAAUAAUCUUUGGUGAGUGAUACAGCAACCAAUCCAGGUCAAGUUUUGUGUAUAGGAGGUAUUUUAACAUAACCCUACUUCUUGUCAGAUGAAAAGUUGCUAUAAUUUCUAGGGUCCCCUGCCCCUCUGCCACUACUGUCUGCUCACAGCAGCCAGGGGGACAGGGGAGUUAGAUUAGCUUGCCAAAGAAGAUCCUAAAAACGAGGCUCUUUCCCUUAGCUGAGAUGGCAGUUUCAGCUUUAUUUCUUGGGAUCCUUCGGGGUGAGAUGGCAGGAGGGAAAGAGGAAGAGGUAUCGAUAAGCAGUCCUUUUUGAAGACGGGGGAAAAGGGUGGGGGGAAUUUACACAACCAAUAAGGGGAACUGGGGAGAACAAGAUAAGGGAAAGAAACUUACAGUUCUGCAUUUUUGGGUCAUACCAUUUUUCCUAACUGCAUUACAACAAAAAGUAUUUUGUCUUUCCCUGGGAAGGAUGGGUGGUUUGGUUUUUAUUCUCCUAGGAAUACAUUUUUUUCCUAGCUGUGUACAAUACAAGAUAUAGGUAGAUAAUGAGAUAAAAAUGUUGGAUAUUCCUCUCUUCCUCCCUCACUCUUAUCUUGUUUUGACCACUUGCACUGUAAACUCAGGUCGGGGAUUCUUUCCCACUAUGUGCAUGCAUAGUACACUUCAAAUACUUGGAUGGGAGAAGGGUAUAGUAAUGUCACAUGCCCUGGAGCAAUUUUGACACAAGGAGCUCUAGGGGAAGGCUGGCUGCAGUCCUGGUCGUUAUCCAGAGCAGCGUCAUGGGCUCAUCAUGAGUUUGUAAGUAAACAAAAGUCUUACAGAUGGCUGAAUCCAUUCCCUCACCCUUAGGCAGAGUGAGAUUUUCCUCAGCAUAUCCAAAGAUAUUGAGCUAUUCCUGCUGUGCAAAGUCAGCAGCCAAAAAGAACAUCCCCCAGCCCCACAGAUCAUCAAGUCCCAAGGGUGUAGGUUGAGCCUGUGACUGCCAACCAAAGCCAUGAUGAAGUCCACAGGAGGUCGUGAUGGGGUCCUGGGAAAGAAGAGUUCUUGCUUUGAGCAGAGGCUGCAGUCUCUGAGGGACAAUCUUCAAAGAAACAAGCCUGAUUUAUGCUUUUGAAAAUAAAUUAUAUUUAAAACAAUGCUAUGGUCAGUCUCACUA
Parus major (Great Tit) is the source of this 2194-nucleotide long non-coding RNA. RefSeq lists it as uncharacterized. The transcript has 4 exons. The record is from RefSeq and is a predicted model, not a curated record. Lineage: Eukaryota; Metazoa; Chordata; Aves; Passeriformes; Paridae.